RNAcentral lists this transfer RNA (67 nucleotides) under Plesionika ortmanni. RNAcentral's name for it is "tRNA-Ser". The record is from RNAcentral. Lineage: Eukaryota; Metazoa; Arthropoda; Malacostraca; Decapoda; Pandalidae.
GGGGUAGGUAGCACAAGAAGAAGCUUCUAACUUCCCCCUUAAGCGGUUAAACUCCGUUUCUACCCCU